Molecule: unclassified non-coding RNA, 200 nt
Filed under: soil metagenome
Description: partial contains internal transcribed spacer 2 and large subunit ribosomal RNA
Source: RNAcentral
CAGAUUCACGUCUGCUCCUCUUAAAUUCAUUAGCUGGAUCUCCGUGAACUCGGUUCCACUCGGCGUGAUAAGUAUCACUCGCUGAGGACACUGUAAAAGGUGGCCGGGGUUGUGGAAGAACCGCUUCCAAUAGUCCAUUGACUUGGACAAUUUAUUUAUGAUCUGAUCUCAAAUCAGGUAGGACUACCCGCUGAACUUAA